GGAGAGGUGGCCGAGUUUGGCUUAAGGCGUACGCCUGCUAAGCGUAUGAGAUUCACGUCUCCGAGGGUUCAAAUCCCUCCCUCUCCGCCA
Molecule: transfer RNA, 90 nt
Filed under: Candidatus Fermentibacterota bacterium
Lineage: Bacteria; Pseudomonadati; Candidatus Fermentibacterota
Also listed under: 2 other names
Description: Candidatus Fermentibacteria bacterium tRNA-Ser
Rfam family: tRNA
About the family: Transfer RNA (tRNA) molecules are approximately 80 nucleotides in length. Their secondary structure includes four short double-helical elements and three loops (D, anti-codon, and T loops).
Source: RNAcentral